UGCCAGAGAUGGUCAGGUUCCUACCCUUUGACAUGUGGGUUUGGACUGUUACAUCUCUGGUAUAGAAAAGAGAGAGAAGGAAAGGCUUUUUGAUGGUUUCCAUCUUUAGGUUUGGAUGUCUCUUUCAAGGUGCUCAUCGUUUGCUUGGUCAUCUUUGUUACGUGAUGACUUGGCUCCAUUUGUUCAUCACAGUU
Arabidopsis thaliana (thale cress) is the source of this 194-nucleotide small nucleolar RNA. Lineage: Eukaryota; Viridiplantae; Streptophyta; Magnoliopsida; Brassicales; Brassicaceae. The record is from RefSeq.